GGGGGAUAACCGGGAGAAAUCCGGCCUAAUACCGCGUAACACCUUUUGGGAGCAUUCCCGGGAGGUUAAAGGAGAGAUCCGGCAUAGGAUGGACAUGCGUCGCAUUAGGUAGACGGCGGGGUAACGGCCCACCGUGCCGACGAUGCGUAGGGGUUCUGAGAGGAAGGCCCCCCACACUGGUACUGAGACACGGACCAGACUCCUACGGGAGGCAGCAGUGAGGAAUAUUGGUCAAUGGCCGAGAGGCUGAACCAGCCAAGUCGCGUGAGGGAAGAAUGUCCUAAGGAUUGUAAACCUCUUUUGUCGGGGAGCAAAAAGGCUCUGCGGAGUCGUAUUGAGAGUACCCGAAGAAAAAGCAUCGGCUAACUCCGUGCCAGCAGCCGCGGUAAUACGGAGGAUGCGAGCGUUAUCCGGAUUUAUUGGGUUUAAAGGGUGCGCAGGCGGCGUGUCAAGCAAGCGGUAAAAUAGCGGGGCUCAACCCCGUCGAGCCGUUUGAACUGGCGCGCUUGAGUUCAGGCGAGGUAGGCGGAAUUCGUGGUGUAGCGGUGAAAUGCAUAGAUAUCACGAAGAACUCCGAUUGCGAAGGCAGCUUACCAGUCUGCGACUGACGCUCAGGCACGAAAGUGUGGGUAUCGAACAGGAUUAGAUACCCUGGUAGUCCACACAGUAAAC
RNAcentral lists this ribosomal RNA (672 nucleotides) under uncultured bacterium. RNAcentral's name for it is "bacterial SSU rRNA". It matches the Rfam family "Bacterial small subunit ribosomal RNA", at positions 138 to 807 of the family's 1533-position model. The record is from RNAcentral.